This 887-nucleotide ribosomal RNA is filed under the name Chloroflexi bacterium enrichment culture clone phylotype P8. Its description in RNAcentral is "bacterial SSU rRNA". It matches the Rfam family "Bacterial small subunit ribosomal RNA", at positions 8 to 924 of the family's 1533-position model. The record is from RNAcentral. Lineage: Bacteria; Bacillati; Chloroflexota.
AGGGUUUGAUCCUGGCUCAGGACAAACGCUGGCGGAAUGUAUUAGGCAUGCAAGUCGUACGAGCCUUCGGGCUAGUGGCGAACGGGUGAGUAACACGUGGGUAACCUGCCCCGUAGUGGGGAAUAACUCCUCGAAAGGGGAGCUAAUACCGCAUAAGACCCCCGGUGAGAGUCCGGGUGGUGAAAGCUCCGGCGCUACGGGAGGGGCCCGCGGCCGAUUAGCUAGUUGGUGGGGUAAUGGCCUACCAAGGCGACGAUCGGUAGCUGGUCUGAGAGGACGAUCAGCCACACGGGGACUGAGAUACGGCCCCGACUCCUACGGGAGGCAGCAGCUAAGAAUCUUGCGCAAUGGGCGAAAGCCUGACGCAGCAAUUCCGCGUGGAGGACGAAGGCCUUCGGGUUGUAAACUCCUUUUGUGAGGGAAGAAGUUCUGACGGUACCUCACGAAUAAGACACGGCUAACUACGUGCCAGCAGCCGCGGUAAUACGUAGGUGUCGAGCGUUGUCCGGAUUUAUUGGGCGUAAAGCGCCCGCAGGCGGCCAGGCAAGUCCAGGGUGAAAUCUCCCGGCUCAACCGGGAGGGUGCCCUGGAAACUGCUUGGCUUGAGGCAGGGAGAGGGAUGUGGAAUUCCCGGUGUAGUGGUGAAAUGCGUAGAUAUCGGGAGGAACACCAGUGGCGAAGGCGGCAUCCUGGCCCUGUCCUGACGCUCAGGGGCGAAAGCGUGGGGAGCAAACCGGAUUAGAUACCCGGGUAGUCCACGCCGUAAACGAUGAGUACUAGGUGUUGGAGGUAUCGACCCCUUUCAGUGCCGAAGCCAACGCGAUAAGUACUCCGCCUGGGGACUACGGCCGCAAGGCUAAAACUCAAAGGAAUUGACGGGGGCCCGC